RNAcentral lists this ribosomal RNA (324 nucleotides) under uncultured Actinomycetes bacterium. RNAcentral's name for it is "bacterial SSU rRNA". It matches the Rfam family "Bacterial small subunit ribosomal RNA", at positions 28 to 351 of the family's 1533-position model. Lineage: Bacteria; Bacillati; Actinomycetota; Actinomycetes. The record is from RNAcentral.
GACGAACGCUGGCGGCGUGCUUAACACAUGCAAGUCGAACGAUGAUCCCCAGCUUGCUGGGGUGAAGAGUGGCGAACGGGUGAGUAACACGUGAGUAACCUGCCCUGAACUCUGGGAUAAGCACUGGAAACGGUGUCUAAUACUGGAUAUGACCCAUCACCGCAUGGUGUGUGGGUGGAAAGAUUUAUCGGUUCUGGAUGGACUCGCGGCCUAUCAGCUUGUUGGUGAGGUAAUGGCUCACCAAGGCGACGACGGGUAGCCGGCCUGAGAGGGUGACCGGCCACACUGGGACUGAGACACGGCCCAGACUCCUACGGGAGGCUG